This is a long non-coding RNA of Microplitis mediator, 580 nucleotides long. RefSeq lists it as uncharacterized. Lineage: Eukaryota; Metazoa; Arthropoda; Insecta; Hymenoptera; Braconidae. The transcript is spliced from 4 exons. The record is from RefSeq and is a predicted model, not a curated record.
GAAUGAGUCACUCAACAUUUUCGAUAAAUAUAUAUAUCGAUGAUUACUAACUUUUCAAUCAUUACUUUUAAAUAACUAGCUUUUAUAAAGUGAACAAUUAUCAAAGUUGCUGUGCACAUAAUUAUUUCAUUAAAAUACCGAUAAUAAUAAACUGUUUCGAAAAUGGUAAAAAUUAUAAAUCAACUUUCGUCAAUUAUUUACAUUUCAUUAUUCGUCAUCACAAUAACCGCUGACGAUAAUUUUUAUCAAUGUACUCCAAUGUACGAAGAAUGUACAAGAGAAAUUCCAUGCUGUCAAUUCAAUCCACCUCGGGAUUUAGGGUGCGCUUUUGUUUCUAAUGUUGAGUGUGUGCAGAAUGUUGACUCCGGUGGAUUUAUGUGUAGGGAAAUAGUUGAUCCGGAUUUAUUACCUGGCAGUAAUCAAUAAAAAUGCGCGACUAGAGUCAGUCAGUCUCAUAUUGACAACUAAACAUCAGCACAUAUCUGUAUCUCAAUAAACUAUAUAUUGCUCUUGCUUUCUUUACUGCUGUUAAUUGUGGUGUUAUUCUUUCUAAUAUUCAGUGUGUUAUCAUUGUAGUGUA